CCUAGACUGCGCAUCCUGCGAGGCGCCAGCGGCGGCGUGGUUAGAGUGGGCUUUGGAGAAGCCGUGGUGGCUUCCAUGUGGUGGUGGAGGAGGAGGCAGGUCUCAGCGGUCAUUUACCAUGAUGUCCUCCAGGUUCAAGAGUAUGGCUCCAAAUGAUGAAAUUUCAUUCUGCUUUUCUGGCUGAAGACUAUUUGUGUACAUCCACCACAGUUACUUUAUCCCUUCACCUGUGGAUGGGCAGGUUUUUCCACAUGGCUGCACAUGACUAGAUUUCACUCAUUUCUAUGGUUGAAGAAUAUUCUGUUCUGGACGUAUACUGCAGUUUCCUCAUCCCUUCAUCAAUGGAUGAACAGCGUUCCUCACACGGGGUACCACCUGCUGGGUCUGACUUGCAGACCCUGGCCCAGUGAUGGAAGAAAAAUGUACACAGACACGGAUUUUUUGUCUGGGCCUGAAGCUAGAGGACCGGGCUGCUCACAGACAAAGAGGAUAUCAUAAAGAGUCACAGCAGCUACAGCCCCAACAAGCUUGUGCUGCGGGCGUUUAUUUACUACAGAUUUAAUGAUAAAGGCUUUGAAUCACCACAACUUGUGGGACAACCAAGUCCCUACAUGUCUCCUCUGGACACCAUGGGUUAAACCUUCCAAGAUGAAACAACAAUCAUUAAAUCCUCCUCACCAUGACAGGAAGCAAGGAGGAAGGACCCUGAAGACCCUCGAUGUCCCUUCUCAGCAGCAAGCAGCUUCAGAGAAUGACCUCUGUCCCAUCUCCCAAAAGAUUUCUGAGCCCCAACUCCUUGAGGGAGAAAUGUAAGAGUAGACAGUCAAUAUGAGCAGGCAUGAAGGGGGGUAUCCAUGUUGGAAAGAAUGCCCAGGAACACCUUUUAGGAUACCCAGCACUCACUCCAUGGUCGAAUUGUCAGAAUGUUGUUAACUAGAUGAUGAUAAGGAAGGAAAAAGGCAAAAGAGGAAUUCCUGAGAGCUGAGCAGGCACAAUUAGUACAAAAUUCAUGGCUAUACCUUCUGGGGUGGCAGUAAUAAGCAGUGCCACCAUUAGAUAGGAUUCAUAUUGAUCACUGGUUCCAGUGCAUGUGCAUUAAACACAGUAAGGGAGGAUCCCCCAAACUUUGGUGAGAACUGGGUAAAAAAAGAACCAAGACAAUAGAAGAUCACAAUGCAGAAUGUCUUGGGGGUGUUUCUAGCAGGGUCAGCCCACUCCUCUCUUGGAGUGUUCUUGUAUUUCUCCAAUUAAAC
This is a long non-coding RNA of Rhinopithecus roxellana (golden snub-nosed monkey), 1253 nucleotides long. RefSeq lists it as uncharacterized. The transcript is spliced from 5 exons. The record is from RefSeq and is a predicted model, not a curated record. Lineage: Eukaryota; Metazoa; Chordata; Mammalia; Primates; Cercopithecidae.